RNAcentral lists this transfer RNA (68 nucleotides) under uncultured Ruminiclostridium sp. It matches the Rfam family "tRNA". Rfam says of the family: Transfer RNA (tRNA) molecules are approximately 80 nucleotides in length. Their secondary structure includes four short double-helical elements and three loops (D, anti-codon, and T loops). Lineage: Bacteria; Bacillati; Bacillota; Clostridia; Eubacteriales; Oscillospiraceae. The record is from RNAcentral.
UGAUAUGGCUCAGUCGGUAGAGCACAUCCUUGGUAAGGAUGAGGUCAUCGGUUCGAUUCCGAUUAUCA